RNAcentral lists this transfer RNA (69 nucleotides) under Rattus norvegicus (Norway rat). It matches the Rfam family "tRNA". From Rfam's summary of the family: Transfer RNA (tRNA) molecules are approximately 80 nucleotides in length. The record is from Rfam by way of RNAcentral. Lineage: Eukaryota; Metazoa; Chordata; Mammalia; Rodentia; Muridae.
GGGGAUUUAGCUCACUGGUAGAGCACUUGCCUAGCAAGCGCAAGGCCCUGGGUUCGGUCCCCAGCUCCA